RNAcentral lists this long non-coding RNA (41832 nucleotides) under Setaria viridis. Its description in RNAcentral is "long non-coding RNA (SVIR_LNC007459)". The record is from RNAcentral. Lineage: Eukaryota; Viridiplantae; Streptophyta; Magnoliopsida; Poales; Poaceae.
UUUUUUGUUGUUUUGCUUCUUUCCUUUUUUUUUUGCACUUUCCUUUUUUGUUUUGAUUGCUUUCUAUCUUUUUUUUUUGACAGGGGAGGGGUGAUCGGAGUGGUGGGAUGGCGCGGCGCGGUUGUCGCGAGGGGGGGUGCGGUGGGCGCGGCUGGUAGGGUUGGCGAGCAGCGGAACGGCGGCGGCGGCGAAAACUAGGGUUAGAGGAAAAACAAGAAACAAGAGAUUAAACACAAGUAACCAGCAACAAUUGAACGAGUAGGCACACAAAUUCAACAAAGACACUUAUUGAAAGAUUGUGCGAGGCUAAACGGUUGCUGGGACAAAGGAUCUAACCUGAAAAAAAUUUGUUUUGGUUUUUGUGGACUGUAGGAAGGGAAAAACACUCGGUAAAACUCACCGAUCAACCUGGAAAGCUGAUACCACUUGAUAGAGUCGGAGUGCCCGAUCUUUCGGUGAGUGGAGAUAAAUUCGACUUGGUAGAAGUAGACCCUCACGAUCCGACUACGACGAGCGAACCCGAAGCGCCAAUGCAAUCGCUGAACCAACUCCCGAUGGUUACCAACCUCGCCGGUGCGAGAUCAGCCUGAUCACGAAGAUCGAUUCCUAUCCACAAUCGAAGAACGAACAAGAAAAAGAGGCGAGCAAUCUAAAUAUCACUCGAAGGUGGAGUUCUGAAUCACACAAGGACAUCGCGUAUUUGCGCGUGUUCAAGAGUAGCUAAAGCUAGAUGUAAAACAAAACUCAAGUCGUAAACAAAAAGGACUCGGACUAAAUAAAGGGGGCGCAGCCCCUGGAGUCCGAAGGGGUCACGCGCGCCCAACCCUAGGUGCCCCACCUGGGCUGCCUUGUUGGGCCAUCUUCUUAUUCCGAUGGGCCUUCGUUCCUUAACACCAUGAUGAAGUUUAAUUCUCUCGCACGGGCCCGAGUGAUUGGCCCAACUGGAUGAUCAACUAUAGGCGCCUGAGGUGGAGGAGCAACUGGAGGCGCCUGAGGUGCUGCUGGUGUAGAUGUACUUGUGGUGUCCUCAUCACAUAGUUAGUUAGUUGUAUUUAGUAGUUAGUAGUCAAUUGAUACUAUCUGAUUUCAUACUAGACUUAGAAUGUUUAAUUUAUUAUGGACUAAAUGAAUUGUGCGUCGUUAUAUUGAUAUACUAGAUGGAGAACGUAGUGAGCAUAUAUCACGGAGGCACCGUGAAAAGGGAUGAAUAUGGAUGUGUUAAGUUUGUUGGCAUGCAGUGCGAGGUUGUCAUAUUUGAUGAGAAACCCUCGUUUAGUGAGUUGCUUGCAAGGGCCCGGGAGGAGUUACAUUGUCAUGAAGAUGAUGAAAUCACAAUCGAGGGCAUACUUCACCUAGGUUCCCCUCUCAACAUUCAAAGGAAGAUGGUUCCAAUUCGGUGUGCAGGCCAGUGGGAAAAAUAUGUGAGGACGGUUAUGAAUGGUCAUUCCCCAAGUGUUUAAGUGGUUGUUCGUCGGGUAGGAGUUGAUCCAAAUCCUCGUCGGUUUUCCCGACCAAUGGGUUACAUCGCAAAAUGAACAUAUGUCGUCUACAAAUUGCGUGUCCAUACUUAAAGUGCAUUAUUACAUGACAACAUAAUAAAAGUCUCACAGUAGAAAAUAUUGUUCAUAAAUAAAGCAUAGAACUAGAACCUAAAUAUGGCUACUGAGUGCAACGAGGCCACUUUCCCUUCCUUAAGGCAUCGGGAUUCUCUCAACUGCUGCUUUCGCUCGACGUGCCCGCUCAAGCUUCUUCUCUCUCUCCUCCCUGUUCGCAGCAACCCGCCUCCUUUCCUCCUCUUCCAAGUGCUCCUUUUCCGCAGCCUCCUCUAUGAGCCUCUUCUCGUACACCUCCUUCCUCUCUGCAUCCCAGCGCAUCAUAUACUCCAAAAACUCCUUGUCUUCAGGAUUGAUCUCAGUGUCGAUCCACUGCUCAAAAUCACAUAGCGGUGGAGGGGUCUACAACAAAUGCAAUUGUUAUAAAACAAAAAAAUUAUGGACAAUAAUUAUAAGACCACAACAUUUCCUUACCAACAUUUUAAUGCGGCGCUGACGAAGUGUAGGUUCAAACGCAAAGUUGGAACACAUCCAAUACCUCUGCCUAUACGUGGCAUGUUCUUCGGACUUGGCUACCUUUCAAGGAUCGCCGCAAAAGCACAUCGGCACUGGAACACUACUAGGCAGAGGCAAUGGAUCGAACGCAUUUCCGGUCUUCUUUGCACCAUAACUACAAUUUAGUUUAUUUCGUUCUAUGAAUCAAACGCACUUAACAAUAAACCUACAAUUAAGGUUUUUUCAUUUCAUCCACAACAAUGAGUAUAUAACAUAACUACGUGCGUUGAGAUUAUCUUAGUUUCUUAACUUUUCCACGCCUCGGCAUCCUACAUUUGCAUGAAACCCUAAGUUCAAAAAUGCAAGAAAUAUAUAGCGAAUCGAUGUGAAAAAAAGGUACGACGGAGAGAGGAUACCUUGCUCUUCAGGAUCCACGGAUCAAAUGAAAGUUUCCUAAGCUACAAUGUCGAUUCGUAGUCUAGGGUGAAGUAGGGAGAGUAAAAACCCGAGAGAGUGGAGAAUAAUGUGGAGGAACUCUCGGGCAGGAAGAAGGGGGCGGUGUAUAUGGAGGAAGGCUUGGCGCCAAGCCUCGGCGCCAAGAUCUAUGGCGCCAAGGCUUGGCGCCAGCGACGGUGGCGCCGAGCCUUGGCGCCACAGAUCUUGGCGCCGAGGCUUGGCGCCGUAGAUCGUGGCGCCAAGCCUUGGCGCCACGUCAGCGGGCCGGCGCCACGUUGGUGGCGCGGUGGGGGGACCUUGGCGCCAGGAUGACUGGCGCCAAGACGUUAUACCUUGGCGCCAGCCUGGCGCCAAGCUAAGGGUCCAUUUUCGGAAUUGGUUUCGCUAGGGGUCUAUUUGUGAGAUUUUUUCGCGAAAAGGGCCAAAAUACAAAAAAGUCGGUCCUCCCUCCACCCCACCCUUCCUAAUCCACCCCUCGCCACCCCGCCGCUGCUACCGCCCACCGAAUAUCCAACCCCGCCUGGCGAGAGCCGCCUCACCUCCGGCGUUAGCCAAACCGCGGCCACCGCUGGAUAGGGGUGAAAGUGGUGAGGAUAAUAUCCAUUUCCGAUCCGAUUCGAAUCCGAAUUUUGCAGAUAUGGAGAAGAGUUUUCCAUAUCCGCAUCUGAAUCUGACCGUGUGCGCAUGCGGAGCAGGAUAUCGUAUUAGCGAAAUCUGACGGAUAUGAAUUAUCUGAUAAUUAAAUAUGGAUUAUCCGAGGCUUAUGAUAGGAUAUCCGACAACACAGUACAAAUCAAGCCCAUCCUAGACACUGAGACUCAUACGUAAUUCUUAAUUUUUAUGACCCAUAAGAUAUGAGGUAUCAUCUGCUUUAUAUAUUGUGUGCACGAGCAAUAGUAAACUGUAGCCGACAAUCUUGUGCAGAGUUAAAUGUAAGCAUGUGUUAUCCGAUUAUUUUAAUCCGACACCGAUUCGACUCCACACCAUUUUCAACAUUCAAAAAAUUUUGCAUUCGUAACCACUCUACUCCGCAUCCGACAUAAAAAUAUGGAUGAGGAUGUGAAAAAAGUAUUAUCCGCUCCACUCCGAUCCGCUUUCAUCCCUGUAGCCGCCCCCAACCUUCUCCCUUCUCUAGGUCCACCAGACAUUAGAGCCCUCAGAAACCCCGAACCCUAACCUAACUCCACCAACCUCGACCAUCGCCGCCGCCCGAUGGUGACCUUGUCGCCGGUCCGCUCCAGCCCACCCCCUCCCUCCCUCCAGCCAGCUUCCUCCCUUCCCCGACCUCACCCGGCGGUGGCGUGACGAACGACGAGAAGGAGAUGAGGGGAGGCAGAUGGAGGAGGGAGAUCGUGCGGCCCAUAGUGACUGCACGAAUCUCAAAUAUCGGAAAGCUAAGGGCCCUAUUUGAUGGAUAGGAUUCCCGACCGCCUAAGGGGGCCGGUGUGGUUGCCGGAUCGGGCCUGUUAUCGUGGUUGGGCCGAGCAAGUGCCCAUCGUUUUGCUUUUUCGUCGAUUCUGUAAAUGGGAUUUUAUCAGGCAACAUUUUAGGGCUAAAGCCCACUAUUUAUGUGAUACUGAUACAGCUACUAUGAGCAUUUUUGCCUGCUACAGAAUUCAGAGAAGAUGAUACAACAAGCAAGAAUACAAGAUUGUUACAACAAAACGAUGGCUUGACCAAAAUCAUUUCGAUCGGUGAAUUCACAGGUGAAGUCCAAGCCAAAGAAGGUGAACAAAAUCAUGACCUAAUAUAGUACAUAUAGUACUAAAUGUCUGAAUCCGUCUUUGUUUGAAUACAGUCACGGACAGCAGGCGAGCAACCAUCCAAACGUCAGGAGGUAUCGCAUGAUUUACAAAAAGAAGCUUCUUACAGAACAAAAACUUUCUUAUGCACAAACGAAGCACAUAAGCCCAAGCAUGGAACACCUCCUGGCAAAGCAGUAAUAUGGAAUGUACACGCCUGCCGAUCAAAACAAUCUGGGGAAGCCUAAAAAUCAGCUAGAACAAAUCCCAGAGACCGAAGAAUUUUGCACGGUCUGAUUGAAAUGCCCACGCUGGUUCGAAAUGUGCUUCUCUGCAAUCACAACAACCUGAAUUCAGUUAAGAAUUCUAGGGAGUUUCCUUUGCUGUUUACCGCCGCUUCCUCCAGCUGGCCGAUCGCUUAUCGCCUGACAGUUUUCUAGGGAGGUUCAGGAGGGAAUUCACCCGGGUCACACCUUCAAGUGCGGACCAUUCCUCUUCCUCGUUUGUUGAUAUGCAAUCUGCAAGGCUGCGAGCCGACCCACACCUUUCGGGCUCCUUCAGGACGGGAGGUUCGUCAACAGGUACAAUCUCAUCAACCUCCCGUAAUGUGUUGGAGUGUUGCAAUGUGGCUGUGGCGAUGUGCUCUUCACUGGAUAUAUGCGCAUUUACAUCUGCAAUGUCUUCAUCAACCUCAGCACUGGCAUCUGGUGUUGAAACCUCUUCCCCAGUUGUUUCUGGGGUCUCCUCCUUGGAUUCGCUCUCCUGAACAGAGUCAGUUGACUUCUCAUGAUCCAAGAAUAAGCAGACAACAGCACAGUCAUCACUCUUGGAUGUCGGGAACUUCAAUCUCCAAGAUCUGACUGCGCAGUCAACGAGAGCCCUGGCUGCUGUUGCACGAGAUGGUGCUGAUGCUACAAUAUCAACAGCCUCCUUGUUUGAGAGGACGUCCCAAACCUACAAGCAUUGAACUUUCAAAUAUAAGAAAGUUGAUGCAGUUGAAGGUUGUUAAACCUUUCUGUGCAAAGGUGCUAAAAAGAUAACUACUCCAAACAGGGAUUGGAAAAUCAUGAUAUAAUGCAUUGGCAAGCGAAUUUCCAGAUCAACACCAUUUUAAGUAAGAAUGGUAGUUGAUUAAACAUACCCCAUCAGUGGCCAAUAUUAUAAAUUCAUCCUUCUCAGAAAGACGGCGAUAUGAUAUUUCAGGAACAGAUAUUAAGCCAUAAUCUUUAAGGCAGAAGUCUCCAAAAGCUCUUGCCAUUGCCAAUCCAGGAGAGUCAUUAUUUGGCAACCAUACUCUAGCAACAUCUGGCUCAUCCUGAAGAGCAAAAACUCUUCCUUUACAUUGCUGAAUCCUUGCAGCUUCCCCUAAAGAACAUGAAAUGAAGAUUAAAUAUUUACAUCAUAGUUCAAUCGAAGGCACCUUAAGGACAGAAAGAAAGGAAAGAUCCCAUAUGCAUAUUAAGAUGGGCUUAAGUUUGAAAGCCAUGGGCAUUUAUACCCAACGAAAUGAUCAAAGUAAUGAACGAACAUACGAACAUACUGGGAAGGUUAGGCUUCAAAUCAACAGUGAGUUGCACAGAAGUUAGAUUGUUGGAGGCAUCUCUUGUCCCCAUUAUUGCUCUUGAGUCCCCAAGAUUUCCAAUUACAAGGUCCAAUCCCUAACAAAAAAACAUAUCUGAAUUCAGAAAUUUAAGUCUUAUUUUUACAACUUCUCUCAAAAGCUUCAGUAUCUGCAAACACCAGGCAAGUUUAGAAGUAUACGUCACCUGUUUGACCAAUGUUACUGCUGUAGAUCCACUGCAGAAACAAUCAACCGUGGGAUGCAGCUUGAGUUCCUUGUCCAUCAAUUUGAAAGCUUUAAGGUAAGAUUGCUUAAGGGGAAGAAACAUCUCAGGAAGCUUUUCACUCUCAUCACCAUUAAUGGAUUCACCCCAUUCAUCAUCAACAACAGAACCUGUUUCUUCAGAAUUGAUACUUCCAGAUAUGCUUCCAUUUUGAUGAGGACUAGAGGCACCAUUAGCGCCGGUUUGCCAUUGCGUGCGCAGCUUGACAGGAAGUGAAUCUCUAACUUUUUUGGCAACAAAAUGACCGUAAGGUCCAUGGCCAUCAAACACGCCACAGAAGAUGCUAUCACUUGAACUAAAACUCUGCAGUAACAAGAAAAAAAAAUCAUACAUUAGUAUUUAGUGCACCAUAGGCAGAUAUUUUUCUUUGCGUGUUUCCAGAAAUCCCAUCAGGUAGGUAAAGUCUGUAAUUUUCUAAAGAAGCAGUUAUGCAUUCUACUGUUCAGCGAAAAGUCUGAGGAGAUAGGCUGGUUGACCAGGUUUCAAUUCAACAAACUGUGUUGGUUGCAUCUUAUUUGUCCAUUAGUUUCGCGGUAUUACAAAGAAAAUGUUAAUAAAGAAUACUAUGAGGCUAGUUAGUAGCUAGGCAAGGAAAAGAAGAAAAAAACAUCAUCUGGACACACAAUCAUCAAAUGGAAUAGAGCUAGCAAACUUAGAGAAUUAUAACAUGCAAGAAUAUAGACUGAGUAGGCCCAUUUCACAGCAAUUUAGACCCUUAAAAAACAGCAAUUUAGACCACCAUCUUUAUAUUGCUACACUGACAUUAAGAAAAAGUCCUAUCAGAAAUCGUCAAAUAGCUCAUGCAACACUGUGGUGUAUUCACAGUGAAAUAAACAAAGAAGAAUAGAAAAUAUGUGAACUCCGGUAUAUAAUGGUCAUAAAAAAUAAAACAAAAAAUGAGAAAAUAUUAUUGAAGAGUAAAACAAAAACUUCAAGAUGGAACCAAAAGCCCAUAAUUCAAUUCCAAGUUUUUAAAAAAUUAAAAAUGUUUGUAAAGGAAGUACCUCACCCUAAAUAAUUAGGUACUUUUCUAGCCUUGAAUAUUAACAAUCAAUAGCACUGUUCUGAGAAUCUAUAGGCUUGAAGUCUUUUUAUUGUCUCUGAAGAACAUGAUCCUCAAUGCAACUUAGAAAGUGACUGCCUUUACUUCUUUGACUUGCUAAACUAAUGCAUACAGAUAUUCUUAAAUACCUACAAGACAGCAACCUACGUACACUUAGCUAGGUCUAAAAAUAGUGAGAGAUCAUCCAUAAGCACACUUCAUUCUCUCCCUCUGGUAAACUUCAUUUAUGAGAUAAGGAUCACAAACAACCUAUUGUGUAUACCAGUUGCUUGUUCAUGAAACUAAAGAGCAAUUCAUGAAUCGAUUAUGAUGGGUCAUAAAUUGAAUAAGACAGCUAUUACUAGGACCAACCAAUCACCUGACAGCACAUAGCACAACCUGUUCAAGAAAGCAGCAACAUUAUACCAUUCUUUGAAACGAAAAGAGAUCAAAACAAAGAUAGGUAGAAAAGGUUGCCAAAGUAUCACAGGAAAGAAUCUCGCCUGAAGCCCUGAACUACAAACAUAGAUUAUAACCAAAAGCAAGACAAGAAAUGAACAAUUCUUUUAUAAUCUCAACCAACUCAUGCGCCAACUAUCAGAAUCUUUUUGUUUUUUAGAAAUCAUCGGACAAAAUUAUGCUGGCACUUUCCAGUUCCACUCUGAAAACUUCUCACUUUCAGAUUAAUAAAGCUCGAAUAAUCUACAGCACAACACCGCAUUUCGAAUCAAACCAUCCCGUGGAGUAAGAGAGCUGCCAACCAAAUCCAAACCAUAAAAAAAGCACCCAUUCCAACUUCAACUGCAAAUCCGAAUCUAUCUUUGCAAGGAACACCUCAGAGAGCGGUAUUCUCCUUCUUAAAGCUAAACCCCUCUUAACUUCAAAAAUGACAAAUCUUUAAUACACAGACGCUUCCCCCAUCGAAUCAAAACAAAACCCAAAAUCAAAAUAUGCCCCUAACCGAAACCCAACCAAGCCAAGCCAAGCCAUUACCACCAACAGCUAAGGAACACUUCGGAUUUUGGACGAGUAAACGCAAUCAUUUCGACGCUCUAAACCAUGCAAAAAAGGGACAAAAAGGCGGCUGUUUUGGGACCAAGAUCGCACACGGACCGAACACCGCCACUGAUCAGGGCUCAGAACCCACCGGCCACCGGACCGAAUCACCAGGCAAGAAGCGGCGGUUACGAGCUCACCUCCCACACGACCAUGGCGUCCUGGUUCGUGCCCUUCCGCCCCUGCUGCGUGUGGAGGCACGCCACCGCGCUCGCGCCGUUGCCGAACAUCCUCCCGGAGACCCGCGCGAGCUCGUCCUCCGUCAUCUCUCCCCCGCCCCCGGGCACCUUCUUGCCGCCGCUGGAGAAGGCGCCGCCGCAGGCCGCGCCCUCCCGGCUCCCGCGCCGCCUCUUCCGCCACGCCGGCCCGUCGCCGGCGGCGGGGGCCUCGGAGGAGAGGCAGGAGCCCAUGGCGGCCAAUGGGAGCGAGGCAACAGGGUGGAGCACAGGGUGGGAGUGGUAACUGCUGACUGUUGUGUGUUGCUGCAAACUGUGGGGUGGCUGUAGGGUUUUGAUGCUUUGCAGGUCUUGUGGCGUUGAGCCUUUUGUAUCAUCUGGAUUGUAUGGUCUUCUUACUUGGAGGUUUGUGCUAAAAAAUGUUAUUUUAAUUUUUUAAUUAGGGCUUGGUUGGGUGUUGGUUUAAUUGAUUAUCAUGAUGCCCUCCUUAUGGGUGAUGGAAUCCUAUGAUGGGGAAAUGGGGAAAAAUUUACUCCAAGAUAAGGUCACUUUGAAGAUACAAUGCUUUGCCACGUGGGAUAAUGCCUAUCUCAUAAAAGAUAUGUUUUAAAUUACAAUUACUGGUUAAAAUGUAGGGUUUUUUUUUACUUUUUAAGUUAUGUUUACUUUGGAAAAAUUGAGAGAACUUAAUAGUGGGCUUCUAGUUACUUCAAUCCAAUUUUAAUUUUGGGCUGUAUAAUUUGGCUUUACAUGUUUGAAUAGCACCAUGAUUUUUAAAAUGCAAAAAAGAUAUUAACCAGGAAACCAAAUAUUGUCACUAACACAUUAUGGAAAAAGGUAGGGCACAACAAGCAUGUGCCCUCUGUCGUCUUAAAACACAGAGAUGGGUACAGCCGUACAAAAAUGCAUCUUUUCUUUUUUUGUAUUUGCAAGUGUCAAAGAAUCUUAAAACCUGAGAUGGAUACUUGUUUAACAAUCAGAUCCAUUUGAUAACACUACUCCAAACUGCCACAUGAUGAAUACAUUGGAUCUUGGCGGCUGUAUUACUGAUGCAGUUCUAAGUUGUCUUUACAUGAGAAAUUAUAGGAACAAUGCAAUAAAAAUAAUCCAGUUUAAUUUAAAAAUGUAUUAUAAUAUAUUCCAGAAAGUCGGCCAUUUCUUUGAUAAUGUUUCAACAUUUUAUGAACCACCAGAAAUGCAUUAAAAGAUUUUGGUAUUCGGCACCUACCAGAAGUAGUGCCAAUCCAAUCCACUCAUCUUUUCAGACCACUUUUGACAUAAGGGAAACUUUUUGGUGCAUCUCCUCUUUGGAUUCUAGAUUGAGAUUUUUCAACUAUACACACACAGUAUACUCUUUGGCAUAGCCUUUUUGUUUGCAACAGGGACAAGUGAUUACCUUAUGGGUCUCUCUUUGUCCUCAUCAGCACAAGUGCAUGCAAUAGAUUACUCAUAGUGCUCCUCCAAAUAAUUGUUUAUCAUCUCGCUGAGCAUCACAUUACUGUUCACUAAUCUGUAUUACAUGGACAGUGAUGACAGAGAUGACAACACUUAUCUCGAAAGCAACACACUUGUAUAUAUCACCUAAAAAAACACAGUUGUGUAUAUCCAUGAAUGUUAAAAAAAAAAAUCCUUCCUUUUUUUGUACUGAAACUGAAGCCAAGUCAAAGCACCGGUGAGAUGUGUAAUGUAAAAGUCAGAAAAGCGAGGGUGUUGAUUGGAUCUGUGGGCGUGUCCAGAUCAAGUUCAGCUCAGUUUUUCCAGACCUGGACUGUCAAACUUAGGAAUAAGUGGCGGUGGUUGAGUUGACUUGGCCACUCAAACUGCAAAUGGAACAAAAUUGCGUUGACAAUAGCACUCCAUCUUUUAGUUAAACCACACAAACAGAGUAGGUUUCUUGUGGUUGGCCAAGAAGAUCGAUCUCCCGAUUUGCCUAAUAAUAAACACUUGUGAUCCUGGUGAACUUGGUCUCCAAAACGGCAUUUCCCUUCUAGCGAAGUCUAUCAAGAACUCUACAUGUUGCUAACACCACGUUUUGAGAAUUAAGAAUUUAAGAUCCAAAAAUUACUAGCUCAAAGAUCUAAGUAGCAAGUAACAUCACUAUCCCUUGCUACAGUGCUGAGCGAGUGAAAAGGAGCGAACGAGAGGCGGACUUCCUUCCGGCGGCGAUUCCGCCUGGCCCUUUCCUCUCUAGCGGCCGGGUUGGCGCCGGAGAGGGAGGAGGGCUGGGGAAUCGUUGUGCGGAUGUAUAUAGGGUAUGUAGGGUAGUAUCUACGCCUAGGGUUUGCUCGCCGUCGUCGGCGAUGGCGGAGCUAGGGUUGCGGGGAACAGUGGCUGCGGAGGAGCUUUUUCCGUCGCCGAAUAAGUUUCUUCGCCGGCUCUGAAGUCGAUCCUUUCGUCUUCUCCGGCGAAGUUCGUCCUGCCGGAGGUUCGUCGUUCGUCUUUUCUUUCGAUUUUGGUCGCUUGAAGGAGGCAACGGCGAAUCCUUUGCGGCUUGCUUUCCCUCUGCUAGCUGCUGUUUGUGGUGGCAUGGUGGAGUGGAAUUUUUGUGGCAUUCGAGUUGUGCUCGAAUGUGUUCUUUCUUCUUUGGAUUCGGUUCUUGGACUGCUGGAUCCCUUCCUGACGUUGCCGGAGCUGGUUACUGGAGCAUCUGGGCUGUGGUUUGUGGAGGAAGUGCGCGGUGGUGCCAGAUCGUGAGAUCGAGGAGACUGACGGCUGACGUCCUAUUACCGAGAACCUCUUGCAGCUAUCCAAAGCUUGGAAUCCGUUCUUCGAUUUGGCUUGGCGAGUUUGGGGGUUUGAUGCUCGGGUAUCAGCCUUGUCGAAUAGAGAAGCAGAAUCGGAAGUUUGUUCGGAUGAAGAAGAAGAACAGUAGGUGUAGCUAGGAUCUUGUUGUAAUUCUCGUUUACUCAGGGUCCUUUCUGCAAGAAAGGGAUGUAUUGUGCAAUCAGUUAUCUUCUAAUAUAAGCUACAUCCUUUUUCCGAAAAAAAAAAAGUAAGUAACAUCUCCGAACAAGUUUGAGGACCUGGAUGCAUUCUUGCCUAUUUUAAUGGAUUGGAUGCAAAGAUCGUCGUACGAUGUCGAUAAUUUUAUACGCGUAGCGGCGUAGGCCGUGUUCACGGAACGUUCCGUCACAUCCCCCGGAUCAACCUGAGCGAUCUUGCCGUUGCUGCUGCAGGCGCCGCCGCCACCGCACAGCUCGCGUCGCAUGUCAGCAUGUGCCCGGCAACGUGCAGCAGGAGGAGAGAUCGAGAAGGGGGUGGGGGAUCCUCCGAAACCGCGGCUCCACGGUGGCAAUUAAGCGGCGGCACGGCGGGGGUAAUAAUGCCGGCGAGGCCCUGCUGUCCCGGAUUGUCCGUGCCCGCGGCCGCUUCUCACCUCACCGGCCGGUGGAUCGAUCCGCGUUGCCAUCCCCAUCCAUCCCUGAUCUCUCGGCCCCUGCCGCCGCGCUGUGCACAUGAAUGUUCGGCAGCCAACUGUGCAGGGGUCCCCCGGUCCAGGGGAGGGAGGGAGCGCAAUUAGUUGCGGUGGAUGACCGGCCGGCCGGGGACGCUUCACCUCCGGCAGUAAUGCCGGCCGUGUGGUGGCACACUGUUCGUGUGCGUGCAGGGCAGGGCAGUUCAGGCCAUCGCUGCGAUUCCGCCUGAGAUGGAGCUAGCUUGCUUCAAUGUCCUUUUCUUUAUUUUUCUUUUUUUUUUAAAAAAAAGUAGCUGCUUCGAUGUUCAUGCGACUGACGUCAUCAUCCCGAUGGUCACUCGUUCCAAAAAGAAUGUAUUCCUGGCCAUGUAUCUGGACAACUUGUUCCGAUAGAAUGCGCUCUUUUUUGGGACGAAGGGAGCACUCGCGAUUUCUUCUAACCCUGUCCCAUUUAAGUUCCGUUACCUCUCCUAAUCCCAGAGAUUACUGAAUCAAAACACGUGUGUGCUUGAAACCAGGCGCACAGGUCAACAACCCGAUUAACUCCCCGGCACAUCAGACGUGGGCACAUCCGGGGCCAAGAACACAAGCUGCCUGGCCUGGCCUGUCCUGACCAGCAGGGAAUCGCUUGCUGCGUUUCCAAGCCACUCUCACUGCCAAAAGAUUCUUCCGCAGAUCGAUCGGGCCGCUCGUCGUCGUCGUCGUCGUCGUCAUCCGGAAGCGAGGAGCUCCGCUCAUCACAAGCCACCGAACCCACCGAACCCACCGAACCCAUGAGCCCUUGCAGUUAAUGGAGGCGGCGGCUCGCCGCCCGCGGCCCACCCGCACGUCACCGGCGCCGAUCGAGGCGGCCGCUCAGCUCGCGGUGGCCUCACUCCUCACUGAAUUUGGCGGAUGGCGACGCGAGUAAACCACCCCCACACGCCGGGCAUCGGCAAAUCUUCAACUUCAAGCGCGAAUUACUACCGAAUGGCGACGCUGGCUUGGCUCUUGCGUGCGCAGGCUGCAAUUCUGUUCUUGCGUGUGGUUGAUGCUCGCAAGCAUUCAUCUUGAGAUCUGCCUGGCCUUUUCGACGGAUUCGGGACGGCCAUUGGGGUGUCAAUUACUACACCAGAUCGAAAUUCUUUUUUUUCUUGUGCUAUGAUUUCUACUUUAUAGUCCUACAAGACAGUAAGAUGGCAGAGUCAAAUAAACAGAGAGCACUUGCCUGCAGCAGGGAGGGCUUAGCAGUUAGAAGGAUGAUCAGAUCUCCAUCAGGCCCUGGGCCAUCGAUGUGAACCGUAGCAAUCAUGGUAGUUUGCAACAGUUGCAUCAAACACUGAUGAAAUGUCGGGUUUGCAUGAAGGAACAGUGGUAACACUAUGAUUCAGUGCCAAAAGGCGCCCAUUAUUGAGUACCACCUUAUCCGGCUAUAUUCACCCAUGGAGACAAUCAGACGAACAAUAACCAUUAUUGAGGAGACAAAAGUUCAGAUAACAAUGAAGAAAUUCUCUUUGUUAUGCAACGCAUGGUGAUUUUGUUCUUCAGCAUGAGUGGUACUGAAAAGAAGAAACGGUGAGCAAAUCAAGGCGGACAGAUAUGCUGCUUAGGUUAGGUCACACUACUACACACGACAUAGGGCCUGUUUAGUUCUCCCAAAACUCCCAACUUUGACACUAUGCAAAAAGAAAAUUCCCCAUCACAUCAAACUUACGGUACAUGCAUGGAGUACUAAAAUGUAGACGAAAUCAAAAACUAAUUGCACAGUUUUGUUGUACUUUGCGAGACGAAUCUUUUGAGCGUAAUUAGUCAAUAUUUGGACAAUAAUUCACAGAUACAAACGAAACGCUACAGUAUGCUGCAGUGCUACAACAGUAAUUUUGCACCUCCAAACUUUGGGCAACUAAACAAGGUCAUAUAUUCCAUGGCUCCCUUUUCUGCAUUUCUCUUCCCUUCAAACAAUGGCCACAACCUGUCGCCAUGCUUCUGAACGUUUUGUAGCUUUUCAUUGCGUUCCAUUUUUCAGAGAUUUGUUUUUGGAGUCUUGUGGUGUCAUUGUGGUUGAAGAGAAAGUGAGAGCUGCCAAAUCGGGUGAGUUCAUAUUUUGCGCAAAGUGGUGACAAAGUGGUGAGGAGCUUUUCGGAUCUUUUUGUUUGACUUGCCUGUGCACGGACAGUGGGAUAUGUUAUGGCAAGCUAUUGAGGUGUUGUGCGUAUGGUGUCUUUUUGGGUCCUUUUUGCCAAUGCUGAGAUUCAGUGGUAGGCAACACACUCAGUUCAGUACAAACUGUGGUAGGAAAGAUUACGAUUUAUAUUGAGACCUAGCAUGUGACUUAGCUCAACAGAUAACCAAUUUAACAUCCAUGUAUCUUAAUUGAUAUUUGGGAUUUCGUCGUAAUAUUAUUAUGUUUCCUAAAAAUUUUAUAUGCGGUUUCCAUUACAAACAAACAAGAUCCUUUUCAAAACCCUAUAGAUUUUAAUGAAGAAUUCCGAAGAGAAUAACACAGAAUCUCUAUGUCCAUUUGCAUUUGUUAACAGUAACAUACAUGCGGUACUGAUCACUUUGCAGAUAAUUAGUUGGUGUUUUCCCCUACUUGUCAACAAAAUUUUUUUGGAAGAAUACCUAGUGGUUUGGCAUGCAUCAAGGUCAAUUCCUCAUACCUAAAUGUACGGUACACUCCAUUGACAUUUCCAAGUCCAAAAGUUCCUUUCAUUGUCAAAGACUCUGGACUCAAAUGCAUGCUUAACAUCUGCUUACAUUUCAACCACCUGCCAAAGAAGCAAAAGAGAAACUGUAGUCAUAAAUAGAGGAAAGGUAAGACACAGACCAUCGAACAAAGAGGAAAGGGAUAUCAUCCACAGUGUUAAAGAAUGGUGCAGAUGACAAAGCGGGGUAUAGAUUGAGAUGAAGAGUGUGGCUUAGCUCAACAAAUUAACAAUACUUGGAUUCUGUUGUAAUAUUACGUAAAAUGUGCUAUGUUUUCAUAAUCAUUUACAGUUUUUUUCAUGUUAAAAACAAACAUGUCCUUUUCAGUGACCUAUAACUUUUAAUGAAAAUUUCGAAAGAGAAUGGAUUUGUUAUAUUUCACUGAUUAUUGUUAACUGUUCAUUUGCAUUUGCUAACAGUAAUAUACAUGCCGCACUGAUUACUUUGUAGAUAAUUAGUUUAUGUUUCUCCUACUUUUGCAACGAAAGGCUUGAAAGAAUAAAUCUACUGACUUGACUUGCUGACAAUUCCUCCUUACUGGAUGUACGGUGCAAGUCCAUUCACGUUUCCAAGCCCAAAAGCUACUUUCAUUGUCAAAAACUCUAGGACUCAAGUGCAGCCUUUCAUUAACAUCUCUGCAUAUUUCAACAACCAGCCAAAAAGCAAAAGAAAAAACUAAAAGAUUCAAUAUACUUGGCGAACUUUUGAAAAUGUUAUAUCUAUAUUUUGCAUUGAAAAUUAUAUUUAUAACAUUACAAAUUUGUUAUAUUCUUCCUAAUUUUUUUGAAACUGAUUACAUUCUUCAUAUAUUUGAUAUCUUUCAUACACUGAAGAGCGCAUAGUUAACAUGCUCAUAUUUCAAUUGAUUUUUCCAUUCGUUGAACUUUUGAAAAUGGUAUGCUUCGAUCCGCAUGAAAAUAGAUUUAUAAACUUACAACUUUGCUACGUGUUGCAUAUGUUAGUGACACUCUUUGCCACUAAGGGGGAGAAUAGUGCUAGCUUGAUCCUCACAUGCCCACUCAUGUCGGCUCUACUCUGCUUGCAGCAACUUGAAAAGAAAUCCUUGUGGUCAGCAUAGAACCGCAAGGAUUCCCCGCAAAACUAAUGCAAAGAAUCGUGCCCAAGGACCGAAUUGCACGAGAGAGAAAGGCAGCCGAAAAGAGACGAAAAGCGGCCGCUACACUUGCCGGCAACGCAGCCGCUGCGGCCUGCGGCUGCGCUACAGCGGCAGGAGCCAGGAGGGGGAGGCCAGGCGGCCGGCACCACCACUAAAUCCCUGCGCUUUCCGCCGUGCGCCCCGCGUGGUUUUCGCGGCCGCGGAUGGUAAGCCAGCCGGACACCCGCGGGACAAAAUGGGAAGCAAAGCAAAGCAACGCAACGCAAAGCAAAGGCAGCAGCAGCGCAGGCGCAACAGCGCUGCGGCACAGUACCGCGAGGGGACGGGGCGGCAGGGCAUCCCCCCACCCCACCUCCUCACCACUCUCCCACCCCGUUCCAUUCCCCAAACCCUUCCCUUCCCUGGCCUCGACGCCGGCCGGCCGGCGGCUCCGAUCCGAUCCCCGCCGCGUUGCGCACGGUUAGCGUUCCCCCCACUCGUCGAUCGUCCGGGUCUUGGUGGCUGGGGAUGGUGGUGGGCUUGAGUUUUUUUUUUUUUUUUUUUUUUGGGGGGGGGGGGGGGGGGCAGUAGUCUGCGCGCUGGGGGGCUUUGCUCGUCCCGGAAUUGCGCGGUUGCGGCUGGCGAUUCGCGUUGGUUCGUAGGAUUGAUGGCUUCGUCGUGUGAGGGCUCGGUGAUUCCUAGUGUUUUUUUUCCCUCUUUGAGAAACUGGCAUGUCUCCUUGUGAUUUCCGUGGUUUAUGCACGACUGUAGAGAAAAAUCGGCGACUUUUGUUCGACCCUGAGAAUUCGCGUAGAAUCGUUAGAGUUGUGCCGCGUCGUGCAGUUUCAGUUGUUGCUUGUUUGCUUCCUGAAAUGCUAGGAGAUCAUGGAUCAAACUUGAUGCCUUACUCUGUUGCUGCAGUGAUGCUGCUCACUAGAGGAACCAUUUGUGCACAAUUAGUUUAGUGACAUGGGAAAUGUUGCUUACAAACAGAAAGCUUCCGUGCAUCGUGUUCCUAGAAAGAAUCGUAAUGCUGCCAUACUGUCAGUAUCGCUUAUUACUUUCGAUCGUUAUGGUUCUGAAAUGCAUUUUGUGUUGUUAACCACUGCAACAAUACACCAUUCCAUGAAAUGUGUUUCUGGGACAUCGUUGAGUAAAGUGCUAAAAUGCAUCUGUUCAUUUCCCCCUUUCAGGAACCCUCUAUCUGAUGAAGUGGCGUUUUGCUCGAAAUUCAGUUGAAUAUCAUCUACUUUGAUUAUCUCUUAUCCAACUGGAGUAUUGGGCCGCCUUUUUUGGCCAAUGGGGAUUGUCAAGAUAGCUAGUGGUGAGCCUGCAGCAAAGAGUGGUUACAGCUGCGGAGAUGAGGACCUUACACGAGAUGAAAGGAUGCUGCUUCAGAGCUUCCCAGUUCAUGAACCUGAUGACUCUGAACUUGCAGAGGUGGACUGUGAGCUUGCAAUGUCAAGAGGUCAGAUUUGCAAUGUGCCCUAUGGGCUUUAUGAUCUGCCUGACUUGAUGGAGGUUCUUUCUCUGGAAACGUGGAAUUCAUGCCUGACGGAAGAUGAUAGAUUCUGUCUAGCAGCUUCCCUCCCAGACAUGGAACAACAUGACUUCGUUACAACAAUGAAAGAGUUGUUUAAUGGUGAUGCUAUGUUCUUUGGAAGUCCACUUAGAAGCUUUUUCCUUAGAUUGAAGGGUGGGCUUUAUUCACCACAAGUUUCUCAGGCAAGAGAGUUACUGAUGACAUUUCAAAAACGAAGACAUUAUCAUUUCCUGAAGUUGUACCAUGAUGGUAUGGCUGGUAAAUUUGCAUCCGUGGCCAAGGUGUCGAGAAGUUCUGAUACGAGUACUAGUCUUAGAGCGAAGGUUCCCAUCUCGCACAACUGGGCAUAUGAGAAGAGUUUGCCGUGUGUUGGUCUUAGCAUUUCCACUUUACCAACUACUAUCAAAGGUGAAACUGCCACUGUUUUGCCAAUGAAGCGAGCCAAACUUAUGGAUGUGUCAUCAACCACUCAUUGUUCAACCAUACAUAAUGAAACAGAUUAUGCAGCCAAAUCAGCAGAAAUGAACUCAUUGGAAAGUCCAAUCUUCCAUCCUCCCAGUCACCCCAGGCAAAAUUGUAGUAAAGUACCAAAAGGUGUGCUGAAAAUAAGGACUGGUUGUGCUUCUCUUAUUAAUGAAAGUAAAGGGUCACAUCACAGACCUGGACUGAUUCUAGUUGAUCAGUUAGGAAUGCAGAGCUCUAGCUUUUGCGCUCCACCUCAUGCUUUUGCACAUGAUGUACAUGGUUUUUCUGAGAAUUCAUCUUCUCACAUCAACACAGUCAGUGGUACGUCUGCUAGUCAACAACCAAGUCCCUUGCAAUGGAAGGGUACACUGGAAACUUAUGCACUGAUAGGCAAAAGCCCACCUGGAGUCCAAAUGACAGUUCCAGAGGAGCACAAUGCAGUUUACCCUUCCAUGAUGCUGAGAGACUUCUAUCCAGCAGCUAACCUUAGGUUAACAUGUGUCAAUGACGCAUAUGACACCAGAAAAUGUGCCCACAUGAAAGACCUUUUGAAGAACUUUGGUCAUCAGAACAAUAUAGCCCAUCAAAGUUCUCCUGAUCCAUGUGCGAGAGCUAGUGAUGAUCAUCAAAUGAAUGGAUACAAGACAACACACAGUUCAAGAAAUGCUGAAAGUAUUUCAGAGAUGUUGAACCUCGGCACAAGGAUGUACCCACCUCAUAACAGCUUUCCAGAGCAACUGGAAACCAUGAGCAAGUACCAUGAUGGCAUAAAGCUGGAGGCACCUCCUGCCAAGCCUGUUACUGAAGUUGGAGAAGCUCGACAAUUUGCUUACACCUACGCAAGGAGAAAGCCGCACAAGAGGUCAACUAUGGUGGAAGAUGCAGUGUCACCAAGUGUGCUAAACAGCAUGACCAACAUGAAAGCGAAGGCAAUCAAACUCUGAAGCUCGGCAAUUGCAAACAUUCAGAGCUGAACAUAACUGGGGAUAGAAUUUAGCAUCCACCUAACAUCGGAAAGCAUGCAUUUUUUUCCGUUCUCCUAUGACAUCGAUAGGACCAAAGUCUUCUAUAACUGAACUGUUGAAGUAUGCAAAUCAGCCAUAUCUUUCUCCUAAGUUCAGGGGGAUUUUUGCCUGCUAUACCAUACAUAUUCAGGAUUGUUGUUUCUUGAUGAGCUGAAUUAUUUCUUCUGCUAAAGUCAUGUCCUGAAUUUUUUGCCAUUAUAUUCGCAAUGUAGCAUCUCCUAGUAGAGAACUGGGUACUAAAAAUUUAUGGGACAAGAAUAUUGCCUAGGAAAGCAAGUUCGACUUAUUUUGGAUCAUUGGGUCGACUCAAAAUUUGCUAAGAUUAACUACAAUGACAUGCCACGUAAUUAAUCUGGGAGAAAGAAAUGAACUAAAACGUGAUUAGCUGGCCACCAUUAGGUACCCCACUCCCUAAUUCUGGCGUACCUGGCCUGGCUGACACCGACUUCUAUUCUAUUCAUUUCAGAUCACAAUUUCAAACUUAAAUUUGAAUUUGAUUUGUCACUGAUCCUUUAAAUUUGAUAGGUGCUCUCCGAUUCCCAUUCAAAAAAUUCUUUAAAUAUAAUAUCGUAUCAACCAGAGGGUCAACAGGGCUGUCAUCUAGUGGUUCUGUACCGUGAUCUCACCCGUCUGAUGCCGAUCUUACGGCUCAAGCUUGGGAGAGGCUUCAAAAUAUUCGAACGAACUCUCCCCGUCCUCUACCAAAAGGGGAAAUGGCGGCGCCGCCUCGCCACCUCCCGGUCCUCCUCGGCCGCCUCCUCGUCGCCGGCGAGAUCCGCCAGAGCCCGUACCACCUCGGCCGCAUCAUACCCCUCCUUCCUUCGCACCCCCACCUCGCUGCCGCCCUCUCCAGCCUCUACUUCCCGCAUUUCCCCUCCUCCGCCACCUUCCUCCAGAACCUGCUCAUCCGCGCCUCCGCCGCGUCCCCCUCCCCGCGCCUCUCCUUCGCCGCGUUCUCCUCCCUCCUCCGAUCCGGUUGCCUCCCCGACCACUUCACCUUCCCUCCGCUGAUCAAGUCCGCCUCCAGGCUUCCCUCCUUCCCGCGCACGGGUGCGCAGGUCCACGCCCAGUCUGCCCGGCGCGGGUUCUUGGCCGACAUCUACGUUGUUAAUUCGCUCCUCGCGAUGUACGCGGCGUUCCGCGACACGGCGUCGAUGCGGGCCGUGUUCGACUCGUGCGCGGAGGUCGCCGACGUGGUCUCUUGGAACACGGUGAUUGGUGGCUACGUGAAGUGCGGGGAGAUUGGGAAUGCCAGACGGGUGUUCGACGAAAUGCCUCAGAGGAAUGGGGUGUCCUGGAGCGCGAUGGUGGGAGCGUACGCGGGUGCUGGGGAGCUGGAUGUUGCCAGGGAGAUGUUUGAUCGGAUGCCUGCCAUUGGGAGGAACGUCGUCACAUGGAACUCGAUGGUGACAGGGUUUGCGAGACAUGGGCUGCUGCCAUUGGCGAGGAAGAUGUUUGAUGAGAUGCCAGUCAGGAAUUUGGUGUCGUGGAACGCGAUGAUCAGGGGAUACACGAUGAAUGGCGAGAUGGAUGGCGCAAGGGAGCUGUUUGAUGUGAUGCCGGAGAAGGAUGUGAUUUCCUGGACAUGCGUGAUUUCCGGGUACGCACAGGCUGAACGUUAUGCAGAAACCCUUGAGCUAUUCAGGUCAAUGCAGAGCAAGAGCAGUAUCCGGCCUAAUGAGGUGACCAUGGUGAGUGUGCUCUCGGCAUGCGCACAUUUGACAGCUCUAGAGGAAGGGAGGUGGGCUCACACCUUCAUCGGCAAGCACAAAAUGGUUCUGGACAAUGAGUUCAAUCUUGGUGCUGCUCUCAUAGACAUGUAUUCCAAGUGUGGGAGAACAGACAUGGCUGUAAAAAUUUUCUACUCCCUGGAUCAGAAGAAUGUCUCUGCCUGGAAUGCACUCAUUACGGGGCUUGCAGUAAAUGGUGAUGCUUCCCAAUGCAUUGAUGUGUUUGAGCAGAUGAAGAGGUCAGGAGAGAACCCGAACGACAUAACAUUCGUCAGUGUGCUGACAGCUUGCGCCCAUGCUGGGCUGGUCGAUGAGGGUCGGCGGUGCUUUCAGAGCAUGGUAUCUGCUUUUGAGGUGCAGCCCGAGCUCAAACACUAUGGCUGCAUGGUUGACUUGUUGGGCCGUGCAGGGCUUCUGGAUGAGGCAGAGGAGCUGAUUCGGAGCAUGCCAAUGGCCCCGGAUGUCAAGGUUUUGGGUGCGCUACUAGGUGCAAGUCGAAUGCAUAAGAGAUUUGAUGUGGCUGAAAGAGUACAGCGUGGGAUCCUCAAUCUUGAUACAAAGCAGCCUGGCUGCCAUGUUCUGGUGUCUGACAUUUACGCUGCUGCUGGCAAAUGGGCUGAUGCUCUAGAGGCAAGGGGUUUUCUGCAGAAGCAUAAUAUUAGAAAGUUGCCGGCAUCAUCCAGCUCAAUGCAAUAGGUUUGAAGGGGCUUUAGCAUUUUAGGUUAGAUUGCAUUCUUCACCAGCCAAUAUAGAGGUUAUGUAUAUAACCCCAGCAAGCAACCAGUUUUUGCGUGGACAUAAACUUAGCGAAAGGCAGAGAUAGAAUCAUAGAACUAACUUUUUAUUCAUAUGGCUGUAUUGUCCUCGACGAUGUCUGUUUCACUUCAGUCUGACGACACGAUCACUGCUACUCUAUGUGCAUCUUUUUCAUAUCUCAGAUGCUCACCUCACGGUUGUUCUGCUUCACUAUGACUAGCUUUGACCUCCAGCAUCGACUCAGGUGACCUUCUCCAAGUGACCGUCUCUACUCUCUCAAGAUAUGCAUUACAGUUAAAUCAUAUUUAAUGUGUCCAAAUUUCAGCUGAUGGACCACAGGUUAUUAUUUAUUCUUUCUUAUCAGGAGCCUGGUGCAUUUUCAGUGCAAAUACAUAAUUUCCUAAGGGUGCUGCUCUAAAGGAACAAUAGGGUUGUGAAUGUACAUCAUGUGUUUCUUAAGAUGGUGUGUUGAGAAAAUCGGCAAAUACUCAAAAGGUGCUUAGACGUUUUAAGAAAAUGGACUGCACGUGUUUGCAAAUGUAACUUUAUUAUACACUAAACAUACAUAGAAUUUAAAGGGUCAACUUUUCCUUGAUUAAAAUACACUAAACAUACAUAGAAUUUGAAGGGUCGCCUUUUCCUUCAUCCAAACGCUCUUACAUUCAUAGAUAGAGCAUCAUCUUAACCAACUCCUAUUUCCUUCAGUUUGUUAGCCAUCAAGCACAUUUGAGUAAGAAAAUUAGAUAUGCAUUAUUAGAAAAUAGUUGUGUUAACACUGCUGAAAAUUGCUGCAUCCUUCGGAGGAUCUGCGUACGAAAUUCCUUUGCAGAUGUUACUAUUUACAUGGCUAAGUUUGCUUCGUCAAAAUGACCAAUCUAAUUUUCUUUACCAAAUACUACCCAUUUUUAUCAAAAUAUACGAAGUACUCCCAACUAAAAUAGCUAAGUUUGUUGUGUCACUAUGUGCUACCACUCUUAAUUCAAAUCAAAUAAUUAAAAAUAAUGCAGUUUAAGUGAAAGCUAAAACAUAGAAAUUAUGAGCGGAAGAAAAAAAUUGACAUCCAGAAAAAAGAUGGAGAACCGCGAAGAAACAGAAAUUAGAAGACAGCAGGAUAACAACAAUAAUAAUACUACUAUACCACCGACAAGUACGCAGUUCGAUAAUCCACCAUAGCAUCUAGCCCCACGUAUUGCAGGCUAGGAAAAGUAAUGCCACACAAAAUAAACUGACAACGAGGUUCAGAAAUAACACCAAAAGCUAAGCUAACUCAAUUCAAAAGUAAACAACCGCGCCGCUUAGUCGACCUCCUCCAUCUUGCUCUCGCCGGCAUCAUCCUCCAGAGGGGGCAUGUCGGUCUCAGCCUCAGUGGUCUCAUCCUCGUCAAUGCUCAGGCCAAGCUUGAGCAUGCGGUGGAUGCGGCUGCCAAAGGUGUUGGGCUCGUCAAGGCUGAAGCCGGAAGUGAGGAGCGCAGUCUCAAACAGCAGCAUGACAAGGUCCUUAACAGACUUGUCGUUCUUGUCAGCCUCAGCACGCUUGCGGAGCUCCUCCAUGAUGGCGUUCUCAGGGUUGAUCUCCAUGGUCUUCUUGGAGGACAUGUAUCCGGACAUGCUGGAGUCCCUCAGCGCCUGGGCCUUCAUGAUCCUCUCCAUGUUGGCCGUCCAGCCAUACUCGCCAGUGACCAGGCAGCAGGGGGAGUCCACCACACGGUCAGAGACCACCACCUUCUCAACCUUGUCACCCAGCACCUCCUUAAUCACCUUGCAGAGGCCCUCAAACUUCUCCUUGAGCUCCUCCUGCCUCUUCUUCUCGUCCUCAGUCUCAUCAAGCUUCAGGCCCUCCUUAGUGGCAGAGACGAGUUUCUUGCCCUCAAAUUCCUUCAGCUGGCCAAUGGCAUACUCAUCAAUUGCAUCCACCAUGUACAGGACUUCAUAGCCCUUCUUCUUCAGCUUCUCAAGGAAGGGGGAGUUCUCCACAGCCUUCUUGCUCUCACCAGUGAUGUAGUAGAUGUCGCUCUGGCCCUCCUUCAUCCUCGUCACAUAGUCCUUGAGGCUAGUCAGCUCAUCACCGCUCUUGGUGGAGUGGUACCUCAGGAGCUCAGCGAUCUUGGUCCUGUUCUGGGAGUCCUCGUGGAUGCCAAGCUUGAGGUUCUUGCAGAAGGCCUCAUAGAACUUGUUGUAGUCCUCCUUGUUCUCAGCAAUCUCGAAGAAGAGCUCAAUGCACUUCUUCACCAGGUUCUUGCGGAUAACCUUGAGGAUCUUGUUCUGCUGGAGGGUCUCACGGGAGAUGUUGAGGGGAAGGUCCUCAGAGUCAACGAUGCCCUUGACAAAGCUCAGCCACUCUGGGAUCAGCUCCUCACAGUUGUCCAUGAUGAAGACACGGCGCACAUAGAGCUUGAUGUUGUUCUGCUUCUUCCUGGUGUCGAAGAGGUCGAAGGGGGCCCUCUUGGGUACAAAGAGGACAGCCUUGAACUCAAGCUGACCCUCAACAGAGAAGUGCUUCACGGCAAGAUGCUCCUCCCAGUCGUUGGUCAAGCUCUUGUAGAAAGCAGCGUACUCUUCCUUGGUGAUCUCCUCAGGCUUCCUCAUCCAGAUAGGCUUCUGCUUGUUGACCAAUUGCCACUCGUGAGAAACCUCCUUGAUCUUCUUCUUUUUCUUCUCUUUCUCUUCCUUCUCCUCAUCAACAUCCUCAACCUUGCCCUCCUCAUCCUUCUUAUCUUCCUCAUCCUCAUCAUCAGAAAUCUCCUUCUCAGUGGUCUUCUCAGUCCAGAGAGAGAUGGGGUAGCUGAUGAACUCAGAGUGCUUCUUGAUCAGAUCCUUGAGGCGUCGCUCCUCAAGGUACUCCAACUGCAGAAAACAAGAGCAAAUUUUUGAGAAUAAGAAGAGAACUAAAUGAUGGAAUUAUUUACAGAUGUUCUAACAAACUCUAAAAAUCAUCAAUACAACAGCAUAAUUAGUACAGUUAAUGUCGAUGUCAUUAGUUUGCUAACAUAAUCCCAUAAUAUUGCCAGUUUCACUAUAAUGAUCAUACUUUAAGCACUCAUUCCAGAAAAAUAAACAUUACUACGAUUAAAAUAGCAUGAUAUGUUGUUCCUACUAAUCUGGGAAAUGCACAAACUAACAGCAAUAUCUCAAAUGUUCCUACUAAUCCUAGAGUGAAUCAAGCCCAGCCUCAAUAAUAAUCAAGUUCCUAUUAUCAACAUUUAUAAUCAGUUAUAACAAACAAAAGAUGUUGGAGGAAUAACAUGCUUACAAUUUAGCAAUAAGCCAACAAAAAAUCAGCACAAACUACAGCAUAAUAGAACAAUGUGAUUUCAACGAAGCAAUAGCAAAAACAGCAUCAGCACUAUCUAAAUAAUAACAAUAAUAAUCCUAUAAGUUAAAACAUGGCAGCAUCACCAUUAGUGAUUAACAUACAGCAACCUUCCAGGGAAUUUCUGCUAUACCUGAUCAUCCUUGAGGUAGAGGGUCAUCUUGGUACCCCUGCCAAGGGUCUCCCCAGAGGUAUCACGUGUGACGGUGAAGGAGCCACCAGCCUGAGACUCCCACACGUACUGCUCAUCAUCGUUGUGCUUGGUGGUCACAACAACUCUCUCAGCAACAAGGUAGGCAGAGUAGAAACCAACUCCAAACUGCCCAAUCAUAGACACAUCAGCACCAGCAGCCAGAGCCUCCAUGAACUCCUUUGUGCCUGACCGUGCAAUGGUACCAAGGUUGUUCACGAGGUCUGACUUGGUCAUACCAAUACCACUGUCAAUGAUUGUCAGAGUGUUGGAGGCCUUGUCAGGAACAAUGUGGAUGAACAGCUCUGGCUGGGCAUCGAGCUUGCUCUUGUCCGUCAAGCUCUCAAACCUGAUCUUGUCCAAGGCCUGUCAAAACGCACAAAAAUAAUAGUUCAGGAUUAUUAGGUCAGAAUAGGGUAAUCAGCUAUUUAGAUUAGCACCACUAAAUACAAUUAACCGCUACACGAUCAAUUUAAUCAAGUAGCUGUGAACCACCUACUACAAAGCCUUCUACCUUCCCAACAUAAACCGACCCUUCUAUCUAGCAAGACUAGAUAAAUUUUAUCAAUACCAAUCAUGCUUUCAUUUGUACAUUCUAGAUGAGCACUGAAAUAAACACAAUUAACUGCAUAACACACAAUCAACUUAACCUAGCAAAGACUAUAUUUAUCAAGACCAGUCGCGCUUUCACAGUUCUCACUGGCGCAUCAGAUCGUUCAGAUUAGUUAUCAACCUUGCAAGUACAUAUGCCACAGACACAACCGAGAUCUAACAAAAUUAUGAGCUAAUUUACGACUUCAAAAGUACAGGUUCACAUGCCGCGAAUUUAAGCUGAACAGUCAACGACGAACUAGGACAGAACCCUACAUAACCCCCCAUCACCAGAUCCGAAGUACGAUGCGAAAACAACGAUCUAUAGAACGACGCUAGGGUUUAGCGUACAGAUCUAGAACCGCAAACAGAAGAGCACGAGCGGGACCAGGUGGGGAACUUACAUCGGAGGAGUUGGAGAUGAGCUCCCGGAGGAAGAUCUCCUUGUUGGAGUAGAAGGUGUUGAUGAUGAGGGAUAGGAGCUGGUUGAUCUCCGCCUGGAAGGCGAACGUCUCCGUCUCGGAGGCCAUGGCGAAGCUUUCACGAACGCGAGGGGAGAGAGAGGCGGCGGCGGCGGCGCUUUGGGGGGAGGCAACGAGGGUUUGAGGCGAACCGAGGGAGCGUUGGGUUGGUCCUGGGGGUGGGGGGACUUAUAUGGAGGGGAGACAAGGGGUUCUGGAAUGUUCUACGAGAGACGGGAAGGGGUGGAGGGCGCGGGGAGCGGGUUGACACUGACUUGCCGAUGGGCCCGAAGUCUUCCGGGCCCGGCAGUGCCGGGGCUGAGUUCCUUCUUUUGGCCCGACGAGCCAGUGGCGUUGUGUCUUUGACUCUGUUUUUUUCAGACUGGUUCUAGAUCGAGCUGGGUUUGGAGCAUGAUUGCCUUACGAUUAACGGGCAGUUGGCAGGUCCAUCUACGAGCUCGUGUAUUGCUCACUAACUAUCGUAGUACGCACGAAAGGUUUUUUUUUGAAGGUCAACGGGGGAGUGCCCCACCUGAUUUCAUUAUAGGGCCUGAAGGUCGGCCAAAUGCAAGUACAUUAGAUCUUAAGCAAAAAAUAGGGCGGGGGAUGGAGAUUACAUUAGUUUACAUUGAACAAAAAAGUAAACACCAGGCAUCCGCUAUCUGACGAUCCUCGACCUUUAGUCGGUGGCUCCAUAGCCGGGCUUCAUCGCGGCAUGCGAGCCAGAAGCGCCCAAACGACGGGGUAAUGUUCUGGAAAACAAGCUCAUUGCGGGAUUUCCAUAGCAACCAACAGAUGAGAAGAAUGAAACUGGAGUAGUGGCGCCGCGGCACCGUCGUGGGGCGGGGAAUGUUCCACAGACAUCGAACCGAGACCUCAGUUGUAUCCGCGGACAGCGCCGACCAGACUUGAGCAGCAAAGCGGCAGUGAAGGAUCAGGUGAUCGCAAUCUUCUGGCUGGCCACAUAGCGCACACGCCGGGUCAGAGAGGAUGUGCUUCUUGACAAGAUUUGCACGGCAAUCCAUUCCUGAACCAUCAGCCAGGCGAAGAAAUACACUCGAGGGGGUGCUCGGUUGGACCAAACGAAUUUGGCAAAGUUGCAGGUAGGGGACCCGGUUGCUUCCAUGAUCUUAUUGUAGGCAGCACCAGAUUGGAAGGGCGCGUUUGGCGGGGCCAAAGUGCUGUGCCGUUGGUCUUCAGCACUGCUCAGGGCAAUAUGGCCAAUCCUGAGGUUCAGGUCGGCCAAUUCAGCAGCAGCCGCAUGGGUCCGCCUGGGCAUUAGGUGCCUGGGGAUCCCGUCGGCAAUGACCUGCGACACCGAGGCUUCCGGUUGUGUAGCAUGGGAGUACAGAGCGGGAUACAGUGCAGCCAGACGGCCAGCAGAUAGCCAUCUGUCAUGCCAGAAGCUCGUGCUCUCGCCAUUGCCAACUUCAGAGCUCGUGACAACACGGUAUAGCGGUAGCAUGCUGCCCAGUGCUGUCCAAUGGACACCUUCCAGGGUUCCUUGUAGCGAGGCUAGAUCAAUUCUUUCACGUACCCACCGCGCCUAGGAGGACUCCCCGGGCCGGAAGAUGCGGUGUAGAAGCUUCAGCAGCAAACUUUGGUUCUUCGCGCCAAGCUCCGUGAUGCCUAGCCCCCCUUGCUCUUUCGGCUGGCAGGCAUGUUCCCAGGCGACAAGACACUGAGCACCACUGACCGUAUCCUCUCCAUCCCAAAGAAAACUUUGUCGUCGAUGGUUUAAAGCAUCCACCACGCUAGGGGGAGGAGGAGGAGAAUGGACAUUGCAUACGUCAACUGGCUAUCCAUGACACUGUUUAUCAGCACAGCUCGCCCCGUGGAGUUGAGAAGGCAGGCGCGCCAUCCAUUGAGCCGUCGAUCUGCCCGGGCAAUCAGAGGGGUGAAGGCCGAGAGUUUGAGCUUCUCAUUUGAUAAGGGGAGACCCAAGUAAGUUUGAGGAAACGAGCCAAGUUGGCAACCAAGGACCUGCUGCAAGGCAGUUACCAGAUGUGUGUCAACAUUCAUAGGAACCAUUGUGCUUUUGCCAAAGUUUAUGUGCAACCCAGUGAGAUCAGAGAAAUGUUCCAGCACUCGCUUCAGGGCCACCACACUAUCACGGCCGGCCUGCAAGAGGAUCAAUGUAUCAUCCGCAUACUGUAACACCGGGCACAGUUGGUCAGAGCUGGCCGGGUGGAGUAUCAUGCGGUCUUGCUUGAUCAUUUGCUGGAGCACAUCUGAAACGAGCAGGAACAGGUAAGGAGACAGUGGAUCACCCUGUCGAAGACCGCGUUUGCAGGGAAACCAUGGCCCAGGCACUCCAUUCAUCAGCACCGCUAGCUUGGAGCUGUGCAGCAGCGAGAGGGUCCACGCAGUCCAUUGCGCAGGGAACCCCCGAGUGGCGAGAACGGCAGCCAGGCAGCGCCAAUCGACUGAAUCAAAUGCUUUUGCAAAGUCCAGCUUCAGGACCACAGUACGCAGUUUUCGUUUGUGGCAGCAUUGGAUCAACUCAGUUGCAUAGAUGAAAUUUUCAGAGAUUGAACGCCCCUUGAUGAAGCCUGUUUGGUCUGGGUCAACCAGCUUGGAGAUCUGACACUAGAGCCGUGAAGUCAUCAUUUUGGAGACUAUCUUGAGGGAGCAAUUUUGCAGGCAGAUCGGCCUGUAGUCGCCCGGCGACAUCGCUGCCUCAUUCUUCGGUAUCAUGACAAUAUAGGCACGGUUGAUACACUCGAGCUCGGCAGUCCCUUCCUAGAACGCCUGCGUGAGCGCCAUCACCGUGUGCCGUACUGUGUCCCAAGCAGCGGCAUAGAAGGAGGGGCCGAACCCGUCGGGGCCCGGUGAGCUUGUCCUGUUCAUCGCGCGGACAGUAGCUCGCGCUUCACUUUCGGUGAAGGGAGCAAGGAGCGGCGCGCUCGCCGCGCGCGGCAAGCCUGAGUACAAGGAUGCGAUGUCGACCCCGCUCAGGUUCACCGCGCGCUCGUCAAGCAAGCUCCGGAGGUGUACCGUGAGAGCUGUCAUCUUCUCCUGGUGUGAGCUCAGCACCACCCUGUUGAUGUUUAGGGCACGGAUGUUAUUCCGGCGCAGCCGGAGGGUGGCCUGCGCGUGGAAAAACUGCGUGUUCGCAUCGCCUUCCCGCAUAGCGCGGAACUUGCCACGUUGUUUCCAGAACGCGGCCCGUUCGCGCAGCACCAGUGCAAGCCUGCCUUGACACGCCUGACGCAGCAGCGCUUCGCCUGGAGAAAGACAGCGGAAGUCUUCGAACACAUCAAGCAAAUAUAUGACAAAUUUACAGUUGGAGGGGAGAGCGGGAGGAGCGCGCUUACAUCGCGCCCAGGCCUUAGACGCACAGCGGACUGUCUUGAGCGCAUGAGCAAUCGCGCUAGCCGCAUCAGAGUCACCGUUCUGAGCCCAAGCUAGCAGGAUGGUAGGGAGGUAGUUUAUAUCCUUAAGCUAGGAGUUUUCAAAACGGAAGACGUUGGCUUUCGGGAUAGAGGUGGACAUUUGAAGGAGGAGAGGGGUGUGAUCAGAGGUGGGUUUUGGUAAGGAACACAGGGAGGAGUUCGGGAAGGUUGUGCUCAUCGCUAGGUUGAAGAGAGCGCGGUCGAGGCGGGUGAGAGUAGGGGAAUCGCGGUGGUUGGACCAGGUGAAAAGGCGGUCUAGGAGAGGCAGGUCAAGGAGGGAGAGCCCGUCGAUAGUAGCAUUGAAGGCAUCGCAGAGGGCGUGAUGGGAGGAGCCGUUGCUGUUUUCUUGGCCACUCCUAGUUAGGUUGAAGUCUCCCACCAACGCCCAGCUCCCAGUAACGUGCUGGGCGAGUUCAUGCAGGUCUUCAAGGAAGGACAGAGAGUCGCGAUGGUCCGCGGGAGCAUAGACGUUAGUAACAGCGAAGGAGUAGUUUGAGGCCGUGGAGGAAAGGAAAGUAGUAAGAGUAUGGCGUCGAGUGAUGAAAGAAUCUAAGGUGAACAUCGACGGAUCCCACGCAGUGAUUAUUCCACCACGCGUGUCUGAAGCAUCAACACAGCGGAAGGCGGUGAUGGUUGGAGGCAGGAAGGAACGAGCUUUGAGGCCAUCCAGGCCACGCAGCUUGGAUUCCUGUAACAUACAAUGCUAGAAUGCGAGGAGGAAAUAGAGUCCUUAGCAACAGUGCACUUGUGCGGAUCUCCGAGGCCAUGAACAUUCCAGGAUAGAAGGGAAAAGGAACUCAAACUAAGAUUCAUAGGUACGAUUACAACACCAGAACAGGAGCAGAAGAACAUCAACUAAAGGCACAAGACAAAGAGCUAAGACACUGGAAGACCAAACACUAGAGCCAUGGCGAAGUAACAUCAGAAUCACACAGGCGGCAGAUAACUGGUGUUUCUGCAAAGAGCGGGCAAGCAGCAGAAACAAGCACAAGCCUUCUUGAGUUCAGGCAUCAAGAGCAUCAAGCACCUUGUUCAGCUGAGCGGUAGUGGCCUUCCCGAUAGCAAGGACCCAGUACAGAGCCUUGGCCGUCUCCUGACCGAGCCCAAUAGCAUCGGCAAGCUUCACUAAGUCCGCUCCAGAGAUUGGCUUCUUCUUCCUCGUCAACAGCUUCUUCUUGGCAACAUGGGCUUGAACUGCAGACGAACAGAGCGCGAGGCUAUCACGGAGAGCUUUGAGCUGGGCUGCUUUGGAAGUGGCAUCCACGAAUUUUCCAUCUUCUUUUGCUGCCAGGCGGGCGCUGUGGCGUUUGCGGAGGGGUGGGCGAGAUGGGCAGCGGGGGGGCGCAUCUGAUGUUGCAGGUGGCGGGGUUGGAGGGGAGGGCGCAGCAGUGCCGAGAGGUGGCAUGGGAGAGUGUGCUGGCAACGGCGUGUUGGGAGGCGUGGGUGGCAGGCAUGGCUCAGGCGCAGCGGGGCGCCAGGUAAGGAGCGGGACCGGUCUGGCGCCAUAGCUCCCCAGGUCUCCGCUGGUGUCUGUGGGGGGUAACUGGAUCAGGAUGGGGAAAGCGGGCAGGGGCGGUAGGGGUAAAGGAUUUAUGAAGCCGUGGCAGAGGAUGGAGGCGCCAGUGAACGAAGCUGGGUGUAGCGGCGUGGGAUGCCGCUGCUCGGGCGGGUAUGCGGCUGGUGGGGGCGGAGGCGCUGGGUUGUUAGGCGGCAGAGGGGGGUGCAGGUCGUUGUUUUGAGGAGGUGGCAGUGGUGGCGGAGUUGGGCCAAAGAACGGGAUCUAGUCCCCCGCCUCGUCGAACUGCUGCUCGCGCGGCCAGAAGGUCAGACCGCCCAGGCGCAGAACGACACCGCGGCCGCUCGGGGUGUGGACUCCGAGGCGGCUGGGGAGAUGAGGGUGCUGCAGCUCAAUCACCACACGCAUGCAGGAACGGUCGAAGCCAGGGCUGCAAAAGGGAUCCACUUCCACAAGGGUACCGACGCAGCGUAGGAUGUCACGCACCUGCUCGACCGACCAGUGCUCAGGAGGCAGAUUCCAGAUGGCAACGUGCGCAAGCCACUCUGGCUCACGAACGAAGCGAUCAUCAGUUUCCUCCGCGCGCUCAAGCGUGACAGUGGCGUCGUUAAUAUGCACCGGCUGCACGUCCAUUGCCAUCUCCCGCGCCGCGGGAGAGCCAAAGUGCAGCAGCGCCACGCCACGCGGCGACGGGAGCAGCUGGAAGCGCAUGUGCGGCGCCGCGACAUGGAGCGCGGCGUGGAUCAGAGGGGAGGGGGCCGCUGCAGCAGCCAGGGGGUCCACGUAAACAAAGGCAAAGCGGGAGGCGUGGUCCCAGUCACCUUCGUUGACCCAGACCUCCAGGUAGUCGGGGCCGUCGUCGAAGGCGUCGUUGUCUACCGACUCCUCCUCCAGGGCGCUGUUGGCCUCGCCGUUGGACAUGCUCGCCGAAGCGUUGGACGCGCCCCUCCGCGGAUACACUGGGUCCACAGGCGCAGCGAGUCCCGGCGGCGGCGUCAGGGGAGGCGAGCACCCGGGGACGGGCGUGUUGGCACCAGACGCGCGACGCGGAGAGGCGACGCCAACGACACGGAUGUCGCGUGCUUUAGGAAUGGCACGCGACGCGCGGAGCUGGGGGGAGGAGGGUUCACCAAGCGCCACGCGCUUGCCCUUGUCCAGGGGCUCGCGGAAGAGGUCACCGAGGUAGAACGGCCCCUCCUCCGUGGCAAGGUGGCGCGGUUCAGCCACACGCUCCGCGACCGCGGGGGCAUGGCUUGUGGAGGCAAGCAUACGCAGCAGGUCGAAGGCCGUGGUGAAAGGAGGGAGGUUGAGCGGGGUGGGCGGAGGCGUUGGCGUGGCGGAAGGCGGAGGCGAACUGCGGGGGAGGAAGGGGACCGCGUUGAUUGGCACACGUGACGCGGGGAGUGGGAUUGUGGGACGGCGGCGCGGGUGGGGAGUCUGCUCACGUGGGAACGCCAUGGGGCAAGCGUAGCCGCGGUGCCCAGACCCACGACAAAAGCGGCAGCGUAUAGGAUCUCUACAGUCCCGAACGCGGUGGUCGCGAGAAAGACAGCGAUGGCAGCCGCCGUGGUGGAGGGGGAUGGGUUUUUGUUUGGAAAAAAAAAAGAGAGUCCAGUAUAAGGUGUUUUCAGCUAGAGAAAACUUUGCGUUUGGAAGCACUAAUAGUAAGACUAUCGUGAUCACAAUAAUUUUCAAAUUUCGUGGAAUUUAUCCUCCCUUUUAGCAUCGGGAGAGAGUAGACCUUGUCUCCUUUUUUUAUGCAACUUGCAGGGGAGUUUAUGAAGGGAAUAUAGGUGUAGUUAACUACUAACUUACUAGGUUCGCAAAACAAACUACUAACUUACUAAGUGACUACUGUCCAAUUGUCAUAUGCUUGCUUUCAAAAGUCCAAAAAAACUGCACCGAUAAUGAAGAUACAGAAUGGCGAGUGAUGCGUUCAGUCAAACACAUUCAGAUCGCGGCAGAACUCUUGUUACCACAUGCAGCUAUAAACCAAUUUUAAUGUGCGUCCUUUUUAGCCCCUGCAGUUUUUAUGGGUAUCCUCGAAAAAAAGCAAAAGAAAAAAUUAAGGCAAUGAUAGGGUAAACUUAUUUUGCAACAGAUUGUAAUUCAGCAUAUUUAUUGCUGGAUGCUAAGUUGCUGACAAAAAAAGAGGAAAAGCGAAAAAUUAUCCUUUUCUUUGCAGAGCGAACGGAAUCAAUACCCUGAUCCUGAAACCGGGGGACCAGAUGGAACAGCCAACGCCCAACAGGAGAUAGUUAAUUCUAUUUUCCAAUUCUGUAACUUCAAGUAAUAUGUGCCUUAGUAGAUCUGCUAUAACACGUUUCCUUCUUUACCAACUAUAUUGAUCCAUUCAGCAGAAAAUUUUAGCUACUUUUAAGUUGUUCUAUAUCUGUGCGAAAUUGUGUGCUAUUCUAGGGCUCUAUUAAAUAUGAGCCCGUUCGGUAGAGAUUGCUGCUGCAACGCCGCGACUGCAGCUGCAAUAGCCAAGCAAGCAUUCUGAGUCUGAAUUGUGGACCUGCUGUCCCGUGCAGGCGUGCAGCUGCAGCUGCUUAUGCAGCCAGCACAAACGAACAGCAGCUAUAAAGCUAUGUUAACCCAUUUACCCCACAACUACUCCACACAUCUGGGUAAUGAUUAUGUCAGCUAUUGGAAUGAAAAUGGAGCUUAUCAUAUACACAUAAAAGCAAUCACCUACCUAUCAUUUCAAUUUUUACACCUUUUUGGUUUUAAGCAAUGAUAGUUGUUUACUAAGUUUGAUCAAGCUUAUUGGCACUUUUCAGCUGAGUGUUUAAAAGUCAGACACCAUACUGAGAUUGAAUAAUACAUAAAUGCAUGGAGGAUUGCUCUUUAACAAAAUGUAAGUUUGUUCUCUGCUGCGAAAUGGUCUCUAGCUUAGUGGUUAGAAUGCCUAAGUAGUACUAGUAAGCCUGGAUUCAACUUCCCGUGGAAGCUAAUUAAAUGGAUCUAGAAUAAAAAAAAUAGGAAGGAGUUUCCCCUUCUGACUACGAGGACAUAUGCGUUUUCCUUGAAAGACUCUUUAUAUGGUGUAUUCCUAAUCUUUAGAUUGUGACUGUUUAAUGGAUGAGACCGACGCGUCUCUAUGACAUGAUUGUUGUAACUAUUGUAACAUUUUAAGUUCUUUCAUCUCAUUUGUUGGGUACAUACAUGAAUGAUGAGUUUGUUUUUGGAUGACGACUGUUGUGCUAAUUAGAUAAGCUAAUUAUACUUUUUUACAUAAAAAAGCUACUGAUUCUUGGCAUCACAAGUUUGAAGUACCGUUUUCCUGCAUCAUCCGCUGCAUUUAGAAAACCCCUUUUUUUAGAGGAUCCCCUCAAUAUCUCCAGCGCACUGGAUACAGGCGCGGCGAAGCGCGCUGAUCAUCCUAGUUAUUAAUAGUCCCCGUAACAUUGCCCCCCGAGUUUGCGUGUCAGCAUGUCACAAUGUGCUACACUGCUAGCACUCUUGAUUCUAUCUUGUGCAUAUUCUUGUUGGAUUCACAAGAUCAGAUGCACACAGAUUAACCAACAAAUCUUUUUUCUGUAAGAUAUCGAGACCACUGCCUGGUAAUCACUGCAGAGGCCGGGGCAAAUUUUAUUAACCUGCCGGAUUGCAAAACCACAAAACACGCAAAUGCCCUAAUUAAUUCAAAUCAACUAUUAAAAUAAUGCGGUGCAAGUGAAAGUAAAACGGAUAGAAGCUUAAGAAAAAAGUGACACGAAAAACAGAAUGCAAACGAGAAGAAACAGAAGUUAGAAGAUAACAGGAUAAUAAUAAUGCUACUAUACCACCGACAACUAACGUACGCAGUUCGAUAACCCUAGCACCACGCAUGCAGAUGCAGGCUAGGAAAAGUAGCACCCCACAAAAUAAACAAAAAACUCAAGGUUCAGGAAUAACCAGAAUAACUAAGCUCUCGACUCGAGAAAACCACCAAGCAGCGCUUAGUCGACCUCCUCCAUCUUGCUCUCACCGGCAUCGUCCUCAAGAGGGGGCAUGUCACUGUCAGCCUCCGGGGUUUCGUCCUCGUCGAUGCUCAGGCCUAGCUUUAGCAUUCGGUGGAUGCGGCUGCCAAAGGUGUUGGGGUCAUCGAGGCUGAAGCCAGAGGUGAGGAGCGCAGUAUCAAACAGCAGCAUGACAAGGUCCUUAACAGACUUGUCGUUCUUGUCAGCCUCAGCACGCUUGCGGAGCUCAUCCAUGAUGGCGUUCUCAGGGUUGAUCUCCAUGGUCUUCUUGGAGGACAUGUAUCCGGACAUGCUGGAGUCCUUCAGCGCCUGGGCCUUCAUGAUCCUCUCCAUGUUGGCGGUCCAGCCAUACUCACCAGUGACCAGGCAGCACGGGGAGUCCACCACACGGUCAGAGACCACCACCUUCUCAACCUUGUCACCCAGAACCUCCUUAAUCACCUUGCAGAGGCCCUCAAACUUCUCCUUGAGCUCCUCCUGUCUCUUCUUCUCGUCCUCAGUCUCAUCCAGCUUCAGGCCCUCCUUAGUGGCAGAGACGAGUUUCUUGCCCUCAAAUUCCUUCAGCUGGCCAAUGGCAUACUCAUCAAUUGCAUCAACCAUGUACAGGACUUCAUAGCCCUUCUUCUUCAGCUUCUCAAGGAAGGGGGAGUUCUCCACAGCCUUCUUGCUCUCACCAGUGAUGUAGUAGAUGUCGCUCUGGCCCUCCUUCAUCCUUGUCACAUAGUCCUUGAGGCUAGUCAGCUCAUCACCGCUCUUGGUGGAGUGGUACCUCAGGAGCUCAGCGAUCUUGGUCCUGUUCUGGGAGUCCUCGUGGAUGCCAAGCUUGAGGUUCUUGCAGAAGGCCUCGUAGAACUUGUUGUAGUCCUCCUUGUUCUCGGCAAUCUCGAAGAAGAGCUCAAUGCACUUCUUCACCAGGUUCUUGCGGAUGACCUUGAGGAUCUUGUUCUGCUGGAGGGUCUCACGGGAGAUGUUGAGGGGAAGGUCCUCAGAGUCAACGAUGCCCUUGACAAAGCUCAGCCACUCUGGGAUCAGCUCCUCACAGUUGUCCAUGAUGAAGACACGGCGCACAUAGAGCUUGAUGUUGUUCUGCUUCUUCCUGGUGUCGAAGAGGUCGAAGGGGGCCCUCUUGGGUACAAAGAGGACAGCCUUGAACUCAAGCUGACCCUCAACAGAGAAGUGCUUCACGGCAAGAUGCUCCUCCCAGUCGUUGGUCAAGCUCUUGUAGAAAGCAGCGUACUCUUCCUUGGUGAUCUCCUCAGGCUUCCUCAUCCAGAUAGGUUUCUGCUUGUUGACCAAUUGCCACUCGUGAGAAACCUCCUUGAUCUUCUUCUUUUUCUUCUCUUUCUCUUCCUUCUCCUCAUCAACAUCCUCAACCUUGCCCUCCUCAUCCUUCUUAUCUUCCUCAUCCUCAUCAUCAGAAAUCUCCUUCUCAGUGGUCUUCUCAGUCCAGAGAGAGAUGGGGUAGCUGAUGAACUCAGAGUGCUUCUUGAUCAGAUCCUUGAGGCGUCGCUCCUCAAGGUACUCCAACUGCAGAAAAUAGAAGAAAAUUAUAAGAGAGUGUUCAAACUGAUGGAAUUACUCUCAGAUAUUCAAACGUCAAAAACUCAAAUAUUCAGUAGAACAGUAAAUUUAAGACAGUUAAUGAUUAUCACUGUACAUCAACUUGUUGAUAUAAUCCCAAAAUAAUGUCAUAACUAGACACACAUGCAAAACAAAAUUUCAGUUUCUCUAUAAUUAUAGUAUCUGAAGAGCAAAGUUAUUCCAAAAAAAGACUACGAUUAGAUAAAUAGCAUGCUACAUUGUUCUUACCAAUCAGGGAAAUGCGUUAUCUAACAGCAAUAUCCCAAAUGAUCCUCUAAGAGUGAAUCUAAUGUAAUCCACAUUUACAGUUAGUUAUAACAAACCAAACAUAUUGGAGCUAUAUAUGCUUUCAAUUCAGCUUCCCAACAGAUCAGCACCACAAACUAACAUAGCAUAAUGGAACCGUGUGAUUUCAACAAAGGUACGACCAAAAAGCAUCAGCUGUAUCUAAAUAAUCCUAUAAAACAGUAAAUAACUAUGGCAGCAUCACCAAUAGUAAUUAACACACCACAGGCACUAAUCCGGGAAGUUUCUGCUAUACCUGAUCAUCCUUGAGGUAGAGGAUCAUCUUGGUACCCCUGCCAAGGGUCUCCCCAGAGGUAUCACGUGUGACGGUGAAGGAUCCACCAGCCUGAGACUCCCACACGUACUGCUCAUCGUCGUUGUGCUUGGUGGUCACAACAACUCUCUCAGCAACAAGGUAGGCAGAGUAGAAACCAACUCCAAACUGACCGAUCAUAGACACAUCAGCACCAGCAGCCAGAGCCUCCAUGAACUCCUUUGUUCCUGACCGUGCAAUGGUACCAAGGUUGUUCACGAGAUCUGACUUGGUCAUACCAAUACCACUGUCAAUGAUUGUCAGAGUGUUGGAGGCCUUGUCAGGAACAAUGUGGAUGAACAGCUCUGGCUGGGCAUCGAGCUUGCUCUUGUCCGUCAAGCUCUCAAACCUGAUCUUGUCCAAGGCCUGUCAAAGCCCACAAAAACAUUCAGGGUUGGAUUGAUACAUCAUUCAGUGCUUACAAAGUAAUUAAAUGAAACGUGCACAGCUUUCACUAUUAUUAUUUAUCAGGAGGUUAUUCUGUCAGAAUAGGGUAACAAGGUAUUUACUGCACUAAACACGAGUAACCACUACACACAAUCAAUUUAACCAUGUAGUUGUUGAAGCACCAACUACAAAGCCUUCUACCUUCCCAGCAUAAUCCAUUCUGACAUAGGAAGACCAGAUAAAUUUAUUUUGUCAAGACCAAUCAUGCUUGCAUUUGUACAUUCAAGAUUAGCACUGCAAUAAACACAAUUAACUGCAUCAACACGCAAUCAACUUAACCAUGUAGCUGUUGAAGCACGUACUACAAUAAACCAGCCUAGCAAAGAUUACAUUUAUCAAGAUCAAUCACGCUCUCACGGUUCUCGCUAGGGUUUCAGAUCGUUCAGAUUAGUCAUAAACCUUGCAAGUACAGAUGCCACAGACACAGCCGAGAUCUGACAAAAUUACUAUUUACGACUUCAGAAGUACAGGUUGAUAUGUCGUGGAUUUAAGCUGAAUAGUCAACCACGAACUAGCACAAAACCCUAUAUAACCCCCUAUCACCAGAUCCGAAGUACGAUGCGGAACCCACCGAUCCAUUGAACGACACGAGGGCUUAGCGCACAGAUCUAGAGCCGCAAACAGAAGAGCACGAGCGGGUAGGGGGGAAACUUACAUCGGAGGAGUUGGAGAUGAGCUCCCGGAGGAAGAUCUCCUUGUUGGAGUAGAAGGUGUUGAUGAUGAGGGAGAGCAGCUGGUUGAUCUCCGCCUGGAAGGCGAACGUCUCCGUCUCCGAGGCCAUGGCGAGACCUUGCUUCCGAACGCGAGGAGAGGGCGGCGGCGCUUGGGAGGAGGCGACGAGGGUUUGGGGGAAACCGAGGGAGCCUGAGAUGAGAUGGGGAGGCGGCCAGGCGGGUGCCCUGUGGGGUGAUAUAUUGGGGGCGGGUUGACUGACUUCCCGUUGGGCCGAAGUCUUCUAGGCCCAGCCGUGCUGGGGCUGGAGGCCCCGUGGCCCACGAGUCAGUGGGCGUUGUGUCUUUCUUUUUUCAGACUUGGAAGGUUCUAGAGCGAGGUGGGUUUAGAGCAUGAUUUACCUUACGAUUAACGGGCAGUUGGCAGGUCCAUCUACGAGCUCGUGUAUUGCUUGAUUUACGAAAGGUUUUUUGUUUUGAAAAAAAUAAUGAAGAGUCCAGUAUAAGAUUUGCACGAACUUUUUCUCGUGUUUUGAGUUGCGUUUGGGAGCUUUGAUAAUACGUCUGUCGACUGUCGUGAUCGCAAUAAUUUCCAAAUUCUGUGAAAUUUCUGCUCCGUUUAAGAACGGGAGAUAGUAGACACUGUCUCUAUUUAAUGCAACUUGCAGGGAAGCUUCUGGAAGGAAAUAUAAGUGUACUUUACCAAAAGAUUACCAUCUAAUUGUCUUUCCAUUUUAGGAGUUCGUAACAACCACACUGAUAAUGAAUAUACAGAACGGCGAGUGAUGUGUCAAACAAACACAUUUCAGAUUACGUGAACCCUCCUACACACCGCUAUAAACCAAUUUUGACGUGAAUUCUUUUUAGCCCUAUGCAGUUUGUAUCCUCAGAAAAAAAAGCAAAAGAAAAAAAAAUAUAAUCAUAUAGUAGACUUAUUUUGCAAUAGCUUAUAAUUCAAUGUACUUAUAGCUGAAUGCUAAGUUGCAGACAUAAAAGGAGAAAGCGAAAAAACAAUCCUUUCCUUCGCAGCGCGAGCCUAUUCCCUGAACCGGGGGACCAGGUGGAACAGCCAACGCCCAACAUGAACGGAGCUGGGUACACGAUCCCAGGCUUGAUAGCUUUUAUUAGUAAUUUGAAUUUGGGAUGCAAAUUUUGGUUCCAUGCGCGCAAUUGGUAAAUGGUAACAUCUGGACUUGUUGCGCGCACUCCAUCUAUCGUUUACAUGUGGGUUUAAUCAAAUCUAGUGUGUAAUGGAAAAAAUAAGGUGCUCUAGCUUUAGUUUCCUCACUAUUUUGCUAGCCGGUGUACUGGCGCGGCCUAAGGUAGUAAAAUAGUAUGAAACUGCUAAUUAUUUUCUUUGAACUAAAAAUUCUAGCGGAUUAUACACGGUUCUCCAAAUCUUACUCCCCAGGUACAUGUGGUGCUGCAUCUGCUUUAGAUUUGGAGGUGCAGGCCCGCAGUCCAUCACUGAAGUAAUGAAGCUACCAAUAAAUUGUGGAUGUAUUUUGAUAGGCAAAAAGUCUUCCGAAGUAUAUAUUGGCUCCUAGUUUCUCUUGCAACAUUUUGGCAAUCGCUACUAAGUAGUUAAUCUCAUCAUCAAGACAAUCUAUUGAUGUUACUUUAUUACUGCACUAAACGUGAUUUGACUGAGGUUAGUAACUUUUCAUGGAUUAAAAUAUGCCUUGCAUUCAUAAAUAGAGGGAGUAUCAUCUGAACCACAACUCCUAUUGUCUCCAGUUUGUUGGCCAUCACAUUCGAGUAAUAAAACUAUGUGUGUUAUUAGAAAAUAGUUCUGGUAACACUGAUGAAAAUUGCUGCAUCCUUGCAUAUUACUUUGAAAAUGCUAGUCAUACAUUGUAGAACCCAUAAUUCAUCUAUAAAGUAAAUGUUACGUCAGAUAUUAUACUCUAUCCAGCCCAAAUUAGUAUUAGCUGUUUUGAUUUUUCUAAAUUUAUAAAUUUUAUUAUGCACAACCGAAAUGAUUAAUAAUUUAGGAUAGAGGAGCCCUAUGUUCAUAUAUAAAGUACUUCAUUAAAAUGGCUAAGUUUAUUGCAUCAUGGUGCUACCACACUCUAAUUUUAUAUGUUAAGUACUACUACCCACUUUUUUAAUGGUUUGUAUUACCUUUUUUAUAUGAAAUACUCCCCAUUAACAUGGCUAAUGCACAUCAUUGCUGGAUUUACACGAUCAUAUGCACACUGAUCAGCCACCAAAUCUUUUUUUGGUGUAACAUAUCCACAUACAAUCACAAGUGCAGACCACUGCCUAGUGGUAAUCAACGCAGAGGCUGGGGCCAAAUUUUAUUAACCUCUCGGCUUGAAAAGCCACAGCUGAAUCCGCAAAACUCGCAAAUGCCCAGUUAAUUCGGAUCAACUACUAAAAAAAUGCACUGCAAGUGAAAGUAAAGUGGAUAAAUUGAGCUUAAGAAAAGAAAGUGAUACAAAAAUAGGGAUGAAAUUUGCAACAGAAAAUCUCUAACUCAUUUACCACCUACCAGAGCACGUUUGAAAUUGUUUUCAUAUAAAUAAUAUCAUCUCCAAUAACCAUAUUAAAUGAGUUUUUCAAUUUCUUAUUAGUUGCCACUGAUUAGUUUAAUACUAGUGAAACCGGCAAAAUUUCGGUUAAUCCUUUAUGUAUAUUAUCGUUACCGACCGUUUCCUAAAAGAACAGAUUGCAAAGCGAGAAAAAACAGUAAUUCGAAGACAGCAGGUUAAUAAUAACACUAUUAUACCACCGAUACUUAACCUACGCAGUUCGAUAAUCCACGGCACCAUAGCAUCUAGCCCCACGCAUUGCAGGCUAGGAAAAGUACCACACAAAACACACCGACAACUCAACUUUCAGGGAUAACCAGAACAGCUAAGCUAACUCAGACUCAAAAGUUGCACCCGGGCGCGCUUAGUCGACCUCCUCCAUCUUGCUCUCACCAGCGUCGUCCUCCAGAGGGGGCAUGUCGGUGUCAGCCUCCGGGGUCUCGUCCUCGUCGAUGCUCAGGCCCAGCUUGAGCAUGCGGUGAAUGCGGCUGCCGAAGGUGUUGGGGUCGUCAAGGCUGAAGCCAGAGGUGAGGAGCGCAGUCUCGAACAGCAGCAUGACAAGGUCCUUCACAGACUUGUCGUUCUUGUCAGCCUCAGCACGCUUGCGGAGCUCCUCCAUGAUGGCAUUCUCAGGGUUGAUCUCCAUGGUCUUCUUGGAGGACAUGUAUCCGGACAUGCUGGAGUCCCUCAGGGCCUGGGCCUUCAUGAUCCUCUCCAUGUUGGCAGUCCAGCCAUAUUCACCAGUGACCAGGCAGCAGGGGGAGUCCACCACACGGUCAGAGACCACCACCUUCUCAACCUUGUCACCCAGCACCUCCUUAAUCACCUUGCAGAGGCCCUCAAACUUCUCCUUGAGCUCCUCCUGCCUCUUCUUCUCGUCCUCAGUCUCAUCAAGCUUCAGGCCCUCCUUAGUGGCAGAGACGAGUUUCUUGCCCUCAAAUUCCUUCAGCUGGCCAAUGGCAUACUCAUCAAUUGCAUCCACCAUGUACAGGACUUCAUAGCCCUUCUUCUUCAGCUUCUCAAGGAAGGGGGAGUUCUCCACAGCCUUCUUGCUCUCACCAGUGAUGUAGUAGAUGUCGCUCUGGCCCUCCUUCAUCCUCGUCACAUAGUCCUUGAGGCUAGUCAGCUCAUCACCGCUCUUGGUGGAGUGGUACCUCAGGAGCUCAGCGAUCUUGGUCCUGUUCUGGGAGUCCUCGUGGAUGCCAAGCUUGAGGUUCUUGCAGAAGGCCUCAUAGAACUUGUUGUAGUCCUCCUUGUUCUCAGCAAUCUCGAAGAAGAGCUCAAUGCACUUCUUCACCAGGUUCUUGCGGAUAACCUUGAGGAUCUUGUUCUGCUGGAGGGUCUCACGGGAGAUGUUGAGGGGAAGGUCCUCAGAGUCAACGAUGCCCUUGACAAAGCUCAGCCACUCUGGGAUCAGCUCCUCACAGUUGUCCAUGAUGAAGACACGGCGCACAUAGAGCUUGAUGUUGUUCUGCUUCUUCCUGGUGUCGAAGAG